CAAACAUUCACUGAGUGCCCCUGUGUGCCACGCACUGUUCGAGCACUACGGACACAACAGACAAAAGUCCCUUUUCUCAUGGAUCUGGCAUUCUGGCUCAUGAAAUAUUGGAUAAAUGGAUGUGGACAUGAAGGUGGAGAUCCAUGGAUAUGGAUGGAUAAAUGGAGACUUGGAUGUAUGGCUUUCAGCUGCAGACCUGCCUCUCACCAGCAGUGUGACUGCAGCUCGCCAUUCUCCUCUCUGAGCUCGGGGAUGACCAGAAGAACACCACCUGCAGGCUGACGGUCAGGAUGAAGUAAAAGAACCCACUAGAAAAACACUCUCCCAAUGGCAGGGAUUCAUAACUUAACCUGUCAAAGUGCUGGACAAAUCCGAGGAGGAGUGGCGCAGCCCCCUCCGCUGCCCCGCUGCGUCCUCCCCGGCCCCCCGGCUCCCAGGAUGGCCUGUCAGGAACGGAGCGUCCACCAGGCAGAGGCAGCGUGCCCUCGCACAGAACGGUCUCUGCAGCGGAGGAGGAGCCUGCAGCGUUCCUCCACAGACAGCACCUUCCCCCGCCCCAUCUUGGGCUCAGAGGACACACAGCCCUUGUAGGCCUGCGAGUGGAUGCUGACCGACUCCGCGUUUCAUCUCAGAAAGGCGAGAUGGAAAGCACAGCCCUAUCAUCUGAGGCUCACCAACGCUUGCCGAACGGAUGGAUAAGAGAUCAGAUGCAGCCGCCACGUCAUGGACCACUGAGCUAUUGCAAGCAGAAGGGAGCGCCACGGUUCACACCUGCGGGCCUGCGUUCACCGCCUUAUCUCAGUUCACAGCAAACAUCAGCGAUCACCUACCUUGUCUCAGAGCUCACAUCUGAGGGCACAGGAGGGCCUAUGGGGCAGCGAGGCCAAAUAUCUAUAAUUUGACUUCGUUGUGAACUUUCCCACUCCUACCUUCUAUCUGAGGAGUGAUUAUGCUGGAAGGUAACCAGUUAUGCAGUCAGUAGUUGUAAAAUAAAAAUGAAAUUGGCUCUCUGUAUUUAGUUUCCAAAAUUAUGUUAAUCAGAAUGAUCUCAUUUAAGCUUCACAACAACCUUGGGAGGUAGGUAUGAUCAUCACCCCAUUUUACUAUUGAGCAAACUGAGGCUCUGAGAGGAUAAUCAACUUCUCUGGUACCUGGCAGAGCGGGACUUGAAGCCAGGUCCGGAGCCCAGCCGACGGGACAGGCCUGGGAAGCACGGAG
RNAcentral lists this long non-coding RNA (1218 nucleotides) under Equus asinus (donkey). Its description in RNAcentral is "lncRNA (ENSEASG00005027162.1)". Lineage: Eukaryota; Metazoa; Chordata; Mammalia; Perissodactyla; Equidae. The record is from RNAcentral.